Molecule: ribosomal RNA, 502 nt
Filed under: uncultured bacterium
Lineage: Bacteria
Description: bacterial SSU rRNA
Rfam family: Bacterial small subunit ribosomal RNA
Source: RNAcentral
AGCGAACGUUUGCGGCGGGCUUAACACAUGCAAGUCGAACGAGAAUCCCUUCGGGGAGGAAAGUGGCGCACGGGUGCGUAACACGUGGAUAACCAACCCAUUGGUUUGGGACAACACCGGGAAACUGGUGCUAAUACCAGAUGUGUCGCAGCUGUCUUCAGGCGGUCGCGAGAAAGGCCCGCAAGGGUCGCCAACGGACGGGUCCGCGUCCCAUCAGCUAGUUGGUGAGGUAAUGGCUCACCAAGGCAAAGACGGGUAGCUGGUCUGAGAGGAUGAUCAGCCACACUGGAACUGAGACACGGUCCAGACUCCUACGGGAGGCAGCAGUGGGGAAUAUUGCGCAAUGGGCGAAAGCCUGACGCAGCCACGCCGCGUGAGCGAUGAAGGUCUUCGGAUCGUAAAGCUCUGUGGGGGGAGAAGAAGAAAGCCGGUGAAGAGCCGGCCCUGACGGUAUCCCCUUAGCAAGCACCGGCUAACUCCGUGCCAGCAGCCGCGGUAAUGU